RNAcentral lists this ribosomal RNA (246 nucleotides) under uncultured bacterium. RNAcentral describes it as "partial 16S ribosomal RNA". It matches the Rfam family "Bacterial small subunit ribosomal RNA", at positions 88 to 334 of the family's 1533-position model. The record is from RNAcentral.
CGGUUUAGUGGCGAACGGGUGAGUAACACGUGAGGAACCUGCCCCGAAGACCGGGAUAACCCUCCGAAAGGAGAGCUAAUACCGGAUACCCCCACCGAACCGCAUGGUCUGGUGAGGAAAUGGAUUCCGCUUCGGGAGGGCCUCGCGGCCUAUCAGCUUGUUGGUGGGGUAACGGCCCACCAAGGCAUCGACGGGUAGCUGGUCUGAGAGGACGAUCAGCCACACUGGGACUGAGACACGGCCCAG